UACGGGGGGGGUAAGCGUUGUUCGGAAUUACUGGGCGUAAAGGGCUCGUAGGCGGCCAACUAAGUCAUACGUGAAAGCCCCGGGCUUAACCUGGGAACUGCGUUUGAAACUGGGGAGCUAGAGUGUAGAAGAGGGGGGUGGAAUUCCAGGUGUAGCAGUGAAAUGCGUAGAUAUCUGGAGGAACACCGAUGGCGAAGGCAGCCCCCUGGGCUAACACUGACGCUCAUGCACGAAAGCGUGGGGAGCAAACAGG
RNAcentral lists this ribosomal RNA (253 nucleotides) under uncultured bacterium. RNAcentral describes it as "partial 16S ribosomal RNA". It matches the Rfam family "Bacterial small subunit ribosomal RNA", at positions 524 to 776 of the family's 1533-position model. The record is from RNAcentral.